RNAcentral lists this ribosomal RNA (192 nucleotides) under Triticum aestivum (bread wheat). RNAcentral's name for it is "partial small subunit ribosomal RNA". Lineage: Eukaryota; Viridiplantae; Streptophyta; Magnoliopsida; Poales; Poaceae. The record is from RNAcentral.
AUGAGUAGGAGAAAUGGAAGUUUGGGCUUUAGAAGGAUUUGGUGUUGCGUGACUCAAUUGGUCUUAGUUAGUCUUCGGGACGGAGUGGAAGAAGGGCGGAGACUCUCGAACGAGGAAAAGGAUCCCUUCGAAAGAAUUGACCGAGGAGCCGACUACAACGGAAUAGUAUACAAAGUCAACACCAAUGAUUAA